CAGCAGGUCUGUAGCAAUACAGAUGCUGGCGACCGGCAAACGGGNNNGGAACACGUACACAACCUUCCUUUAAGUGGGGGAUAGCCCGGGGAAACCCGGAUUAAUACCCCGUAAUAUAUUGAAAAGGCAUCUUUUUAAUAUUAUAGCUCCGGCGCUUAAUGAUGGGUGUGCGCCUGAUUAGGUAGUUGGCGGGGUAACGGCCCGC
Molecule: ribosomal RNA, 205 nt
Filed under: uncultured soil bacterium
Lineage: Bacteria
Description: partial 16S ribosomal RNA
Rfam family: Bacterial small subunit ribosomal RNA
Source: RNAcentral